AUGUAAUAAUACGCUUCAACAACCAGUAGGUCAACGCGGGUCAAACUUUAUAAAGGGUUGUUGCAGCGUACAAAUUAAUUGCCCGCAGCAAGAGAGUUUUUUGCAGCGUACAAAGUAAAAGCCCCCUGCAAUAGCCCAUUUAUUUUGCAGCGUACAGAUAAAAGCCCCCUGCAAUAAAAAAAUUUCGCUGCAAAGCUAAUUAAGAAAAACAUUUCAUCUCAAACCUAAGGACCAUUUCCACGCUCAGUACUCCCUCUUCUUCCCUCAGCUUUCACUGCGUACUCUCUCACCUCCUCAUUCUUCUUCUUCAUCAUCUGCUCUCUUUCUCUCUCUAAUUCGUGGUUUUUUUGGGUUUUUUGCAAGUAAUUGUUGAAAUUGGGUGACAAUUCGUCUUGGUUUUUGUGAAAAUUUGCUCGACUCCUUCUCUCCAAGCAUCUGGCCUUCGACCUCAGCCUUCGAACUCAGCCGCCGUCGAACUCAGCCGUCGAACUCAGCAACUCAGGCGUUGCUCGGCCCUGCGUCGCUGUCUUCGCCGAUGGGUCGUAGUUCUCGUAGUGGAGGGACGCCUUUACAUAAUGCAUCAAAACGUGGCCUGGAAAAUACUGUGAUAUACAGUGUGGCCAGCAUCUGAUACAAUUGUAGCAUUCCGCGGCUACUAUCAUCGUAGCUCUGCUGUAGGGAUUGUACUACCAUGAUAGUAGGAUAUUGACUUGGGGGGGGGUGUUAUCACUAUUAUGGAGUACCUUUAGCUUCUUCCUCUACCUCUAUUAUCUUUCACCACGUUUCUUUCGUCUGCAUUUUCUCUGUUAAUUGCAUCUUGUAAAAUUUCCAAAAUAGGCUAAUGUUUUAUCUAUGGAUCAGAGUAUAACUUUUCUCGUAAAAAACAGGUAGCAUCUUGUUUUUGAAUCUCGUACCUUGUAUUAUGUGCCUUGAAAAUUUGGGUAAAUAUUUGGAAUGUUUUGGCAAUGGUUUUUAUCUUAACGUAGAAACCUCUUAAGAAAUCUUAGAUUUGGAAAUGGGAAUGGUCUGUUAAGAUUUUGAGCUGAAGCUUCUCUGUUUAUAGACUCCAAAUGUAUAUAUUAGGAAUUCCAUUUAUUGAUAUAAUAAUUGUUUGUUCCUUUCAAGGUUGUUUUUCCUGGGAAAAUAUUCAUUCAAUUGAGAAACAAACAUUGUGUUCCUUUUUCAAUGGGAAGGUGGAAAAUCGGACUCCGGAUGUCUACAAGGAGAUACGAACUUGGAUUAUGAAGAGGUUUCAUGCCAAUCCAAGCACAAACAUUGAACUGAAAGAUCUGUCGGAGCUGUUUAUUGGGGAUAUAGAUGCAAGAUGUUGACAAGGCAGAGCAAAUAGACUCUUUAAUUGAAAAGUUUUAUCAGUUACAACAUAAGAAAUCCUCUGUACUAUUAGUUCCAAGAGCCAACGUGUCAACAGCGGCAGUGCCUUCAGGCCUAUUUCCGGAGUCGAUCACAGAAGAGUUGGUAGAACAAGAGGGACCUGCAGUUGAGUAUCAUUGCAACUCUUCUUCUGUUGAUUGUUCUUGCAGUUGAGCAGGUGAUGGGAAGGUCUUCACCAAAUGACAAGCUACAGGCCUAUAAAAGGACAGUCUGCUGGACCAGCGUAGGAGAAGUGCAGACAUCGAGGCUGAUUUUUCGAUGAAAUUGGCUGAUAUGUUAAAAUAGUUCAAUGAAUGCUCUAGUUCUUUGAGUAGGCACAGAGAGAUGGACAGAGAGCUUGAAUUGAAGGAACACUAAUGUCCCUGUCUUCCCUGAAGAAGUAUGUGUCACCUAGUUGGGGGCAGCCAUUUGUAGGAGCUAGCAUUUUGGCAGUUUCAGGGAAUGGAGCUAGCAUUUGGAGAGAGGCUGAACUUGAAUCUUGGGACGACAAACUCAAUAAAGGCCUGGUUGUAUUUCGUGACGAUGGAAGCUCAGAGACGGUGGGGGCAGAAGCAAUGUCAUUAUCAUUCGAGUGAGAGAUCGAAGUAGAUUGAUCAUAAGACUCUACGAAGGCUUGCUCAGAACCGUGAGGCAGCAAGGAAAAGCCGGUUGAGGAAAAAAGUCUACACUCCGAGGAUUGCGCCUUAUGCGAGGAAUUUGAUGUGGUUCGUGAGCAAUGGGCCAAGUUUUUUACCAGCAAGUAUUUAUUAUUGGCUUUAGCGCGCUUGAUCGAGUUGGUUUAGUUGUUAUAGAAUAAAUUUUAUAUUAAAAUGUAUGUUUAUGUUGAAAUUGGAACAUAUAUUUAAAUGUAAUAUGUGCACUUAAUUUGGUUUUGGGAUAUAUAGUAUACAAAACUCCAGUUGUUGUUUUUA
Spinacia oleracea (spinach) is the source of this 2303-nucleotide long non-coding RNA. RefSeq lists it as uncharacterized. The record is from RefSeq and is a predicted model, not a curated record. NCBI's taxonomy places the organism in Eukaryota, Viridiplantae, Streptophyta, Magnoliopsida, Caryophyllales, Amaranthaceae. The transcript has 7 exons.